CCUGGUCGCUUAGACAGUGAAGCGUCUGCUUGCAAUGCAGGAGGCCCAGGUUCGAUCCUUGGGUCAGGA
Molecule: transfer RNA, 69 nt
Filed under: Bos taurus (domestic cattle)
Lineage: Eukaryota; Metazoa; Chordata; Mammalia; Artiodactyla; Bovidae
Also listed under: 3 other names
Rfam family: tRNA
About the family: Transfer RNA (tRNA) molecules are approximately 80 nucleotides in length. Their secondary structure includes four short double-helical elements and three loops (D, anti-codon, and T loops).
Source: Rfam by way of RNAcentral